AGCAUAUCAAUAAGCGGAGGAAAAGAAACCAACAGGGAUUGCCUCAGUAACGGCGAGUGAAGCGGCAACAGCUCAAAUUUGAAAUCUGGCCCUUGGGUCCGAAUUGUAAUUUGCAGAGGAUGCUUUUGGCGAGGUGCCUUCCGAGUUCCCUGGAACGGGACGCCACAGAGGGUGAGAGCCCCGUCCGGAUGUGCCACCAAGCCUCUGUAAAGCUCCUUCGACGAGUCGAGUAGUUUGGGAAUGCUGCUCUAAAUGGGAGGUGUAUGUCUUCUAAAGCUAAAUACCGGCCAGAGACCGAUAGCGCACAAGUAGAGUGAUCGAAAGAUGAAAAGUAUUCUGAAGAGAGAGUUAAAUAGCACGUGAAAUUGUUGAAGGGGAAGCGUUUAUGACCAGACUUGGGGCCGGCCGAUCAUCCAGGGUUCUCUCUGGUGCACUCGGCCGAUCUUAGGCCAGCAUCAGUUUGCGCCGGGGGAUAAAGGCUUCGGGAACGUAGCUCCUCUCGGGGAGUGUUAUAGACCGUUGCGUAAUACCCUGGUGCGGACUGAGGAACGCGCUUCGGCACGGAUGCUGGCGUAAUGGUCAUCAACGACCCGUCU
This 596-nucleotide ribosomal RNA is filed under the name uncultured fungus. Its description in RNAcentral is "eukaryotic LSU rRNA". It matches the Rfam family "Eukaryotic large subunit ribosomal RNA", at positions 37 to 654 of the family's 3401-position model. Lineage: Eukaryota; Fungi. The record is from RNAcentral.